UCAAUGAGAAGGCUCAAGUCUUUUGCUUUUAAACCCUGGACAAGCCAGAAGCUGGUCAGGUUCCAGGAGUCCAUGGUGGUUGUUGGGAUGGCUCCCAGGUGUGUCUGGGUCUCUUCCUGUAGGGAUUAAAUAAAUGCUUUCUCUCUGUACCUGAUGAUGUCUGAUAAGUUAAUUGGGAAGGGGAGGUCUUGCACCUAAUCUGUCCCACACACAUUGGUGGGGGGGAAAAAGAGUAGAAAGCUGUAUAAGAUAAUUUCUUAGUUUUUCAAAGUAACCAUUAAUCUAUCCUGAGCCUUUGCAUUUUAGGGGGGGUUAAGCUGACUCUUGCUUUCCCUUUUCCCUGAGGUUAUAUCCUCCCCCCUCCUACAGAUGCACCCUUUUGAUAAGAUUGUGAAAAAUACAGUGAUUGAUGAUUUAGCAUGAUUAUCUUACACAAAGGUGUUUAAUAAUAGCAUUUAUUUAUUGAAGUGUAAUCUUAAAACACUUAAAAUAUUUUUCUUAUCUACAAUACUCGGUGUUUUGGAAAACACUGGCAUGAUGGAAGAGCACUGAAGAUUGGAUUCAGUAAAGUGGUUUUGAGUUCAUAGUUUUCCUACCAACUCAUAGCUUUGGAUAAGUCACUGAACCUUCAUUCUAAUUUGUAAAAUGAGGGAAUUGGACUAAAUGUUCUCUAAAAUGACUUCUAGCUCUUAAGAUUCUGUGAGUCUAUAAUAAUACCUUUCCUUGGGUAUUUGAUGUUUUCUGCUAUCCCAAGUCAUCCCACUUCAUGGUCACUACUUCUAAUCAAACUUUCUAUUCUUUUUAUGCACUUAAAACUGGAAAAUUAUGCAAUUAGAUGAGUGAAUUUAUUUGUAAUGGUGAGAUAGAAUUUGUAGCAAAAUAGUGUUGGAUUUGGAAGCCUGGUUUAAUACAGUUUUAAACAGUUGCUAAUGUGAAAAGAUGUUUACUUUUAUUUUUCUCCUAUGUAAAAUGGUGUUUGUUGUAAGGAAAAUACUUUGAAAAUUUCAGUGUCUCUCCUGAAUCUGUCAUUUCUGGGCUAACACCACGACUUAAAUAUUCAAGGUCAAUCCUUUUAUCCUCUCAUUUAUUUCUUUUUACCCCCUUUCCCUGCUUCUCAUUUCCCCUUUUCAAAACUCAGGAAAAUGCCAGGUCCUUAUAUCUUCUAAAAUCACACACACACACAAAAGCCAUAAUGAUAAAUAUAAUUUUAAGUUCUAUAUGCCAUAGACUGAAUUAUGUAUUUUUAAAAGUUUAUCCUAUUUAAGUAUGGUCCAUUUAAUUAGAACUUUUUCUAAAAUAAAUUAAGAAAAAGAGAAAGAAAGAUAGCGAGAGAGAAAGAAAAAAAGAAAGAAAAUUAUAAAGGCAAUAAUGCACCCUGGAAGUUUCCCUUUAGUCAGUCAACCACUAAAUAUGAAUGUAAGCCAUCUAUUACGUGCCAGGUUUUAUGCUGCUAAUUUCAAGAGAUACAAAGGCAUCCAAAAAACAGUCCCUAUAAAAUUAAAACUAUAUAAACCAGAUAUAUUCAAGAACUGAUUGGAAACUGUCAGAGGGAAGUUGUAAUUCAUUUCUCAAUGAUCAUUUUUAUGUCUCCUCUGUUUUCCCUCAAUGCAUUUUCAUAUAACUGUCCAAAACGCAAAUAAUUAAAUUGUGAAGAUCUAUUUUAAAGCUUUUCCUCUGAUUGUAAAUUUAUUUCUUUUAAUGAAAAAGUAAAUUGGUGUUUUGUUUCAAUUAUUAGUGUACUUAAAAAUAAUCCAGUUAUUUGAUCAUCAACUGUUUUCAAUAAUGCUAAAAAAGAAAUAGAUAGUCUUUUAAGUAUUCUAAAAAAAUUAAAGAUUGUAUUUAAUGUUAACAAGAAAGAAUAAGUUCUUUAUCCAUCAAAUAACUAUACCACAGUUAUCAUUUUUUAUGUAAAAUAUAGAUGUUGAAUACAAAAUUAUUCAGGUUUUAGUCAAAGUUAAUUAUUUUGCUUAAAUCUUUUAUUUUUUUCUAAGUACAUGUAAAGAUAUCUUUCAACAUUCAUUUUUUUAUUUUCUUUUUUUUUUAAAUUAUAGCUUUUUAUUUACAAUUUAUAUGCAUGGGUAAUUUUACAGUAUUGAAAAUUGCCAAACCUUUUGUUCCAAUUUUUCCCCUCCUUCCACACCCCCCACCUUUCCCCUAGAUGGCAGGAUGACCCGUACAUAUAAAAUAUAUUAAAGUAUAAAUUAAAUACAAAAUAAGUUUACAUGUGUAAACUGUUACUUUGCUUUACAAAAAGAAUCAGACUCUGAAAUAUUGUACAAUUAGCUUAUGAAGGAAAUUAAAAAAAAAUGCAGGCAGGCAAAAUAGAGGGAAGAAUUCAAUGUAAUGGUUCUUAGUAAUCACCCAGAGUUAUUUUAUGGUGCCAGCUGGGAUUCAGUUCAUUGCCGCCACUUAAGAACUGAUUUGGUUUAUCUCAUUGCUGAAGAUGACCAGGUCCAUCA
This 2459-nucleotide long non-coding RNA is filed under the name Sarcophilus harrisii (Tasmanian devil). Its description in RNAcentral is "lncRNA (ENSSHAG00000023804.1)". Lineage: Eukaryota; Metazoa; Chordata; Mammalia; Dasyuromorphia; Dasyuridae. The record is from RNAcentral.